Molecule: ribosomal RNA, 429 nt
Filed under: Chloroflexota bacterium
Lineage: Bacteria; Bacillati; Chloroflexota
Description: Chloroflexi bacterium partial 16S ribosomal RNA
Rfam family: Bacterial small subunit ribosomal RNA
Source: RNAcentral
UGGGGAAUAUUGCACAAGGGGCACAAGCCUGAUGCAGCCAUGCCGCGUGUAUGAAGAAGGUCUUCGGGUUGUAAAGUACUUUCAGCGGGGAGGAAGGGAGUAAAGUUAAUACCUUUGCUCAUUGACGUUACCCGCAGAAGAAGCACAGGCUAACUCCGUGCCAGCAGCCGCGGUAAUACGGAGGGUGCAAGCGUUAAGCGGAAUUACUGGGCGUAAAGCGCACGCAGGCGGUUUGUUAAGUCAGAUGGGAAAGCACCGGGCUCAACCUGGGAACUGCAUCUGAUACUGGCAAGCUUGAGUCUCGUAGGAGAGAGUAGAAUUCCAGGUGGAGCGGUGAAAUGCGUAGAGAUCUGGAGGAAUACCGGUGGCGACGGCGGCCCCCUGGACGAAGACUGACGCUCAGGUGCGAAAGCGUGGGGAGCAAACAGG